This 68-nucleotide transfer RNA is filed under the name Scomberoides lysan (doublespotted queenfish). RNAcentral's name for it is "tRNA-Phe". It matches the Rfam family "tRNA". Rfam says of the family: Transfer RNA (tRNA) molecules are approximately 80 nucleotides in length. Their secondary structure includes four short double-helical elements and three loops (D, anti-codon, and T loops). Lineage: Eukaryota; Metazoa; Chordata; Actinopteri; Carangiformes; Carangidae. The record is from RNAcentral.
GCUAACGUAGCUUAACCAAAGCAUAACACUGAAGAUGUUAAGAUGGACCCUGAAAAGUCCCGGAAGCA